Onychomys torridus (southern grasshopper mouse) is the source of this 6651-nucleotide long non-coding RNA. RefSeq lists it as uncharacterized. Lineage: Eukaryota; Metazoa; Chordata; Mammalia; Rodentia; Cricetidae. The transcript has 2 exons. The record is from RefSeq and is a predicted model, not a curated record.
GCGGCGGCCAGGCAGGCAGGACGCGCAGCUUGAGGAGCCCGCAGAUAAGUUCCUACUUAAAAAGACUGAGAUUAAGGAAAAAUUAGAACUUUAAACUUAGAUCGCUAAAUAGAGUAGCGUGUGGAGAUGAGGCUUAGCGUUAAAUUCUUAAUUUCUAGCGUAAAAAGGUUUUAAGAGAAAAUAUGGAGCCUAAUAUAAGGAGUUUAAAACAGGAAAAGAGAAGAAAAAUAAUUGUAAGAUCUGGAGGCUGAGAGGAAGGUUUUAGAGAGUAAUUUAAAAGAUUGUAAAGGGAGGCAAUACAGAGCCUUUAAAAGCCUUUAGUUUGAAGGUCAGCCUUGUAGACUAAAACGAAGGUUGCUUAUUGCUGAAAACAACCCAAAUGCCAUUUAAAAACAGUAAAAUCAGUUUGAAAAUGAGGUAAAGGUUAAAAUGAAAACUAGGUUAAGUUGAAGGCGGUUAUGAAAGACCUUCGGUUGAUGGCGCAGGAAAGAUUGCGUCAUUUGAAGCGUAUUUAUGUUCCAAGGCAUUUGAGGUGGAAACGGAAGUUUAGUUGGAAUUGGUAGCUUAGUAUUGGAGAAAGAAGAUUAGGAAUUGAAGUGGAAAACGAAGACAGAAAUACAGGAAAGAGAAGAACAGCUGUAGAGAAGAUAGGAAAAUAGAAGACGAAGCAUCUUUAGAAGACAGAACGGUGUUUAAACGUAAUGGUAGGAAGCAGAAGAAAAAACCUAGGAAAAUGACAAGCUUAGAAGACUAGAAGAAGCAAGAUAGAAAAGCAAGUUAAGACCACUUGGAUUCAAGCAUUCAAGAUAGGCAAAGAAGAUAGAUUGACCAAAAGGUUGGCUAAAAUAUAAAUUCUCAAGGAUCAGGAAGUUAUUUUCAAAUUAAUAAAUUCUGAUUUCUGAUGGAGCGGUUUGAGUGGUGUAGACAGCCACUGAACGAGAGAAGCUAGACAUCAAGCCUGCUAGGGCUGAAGGAAUUAAGAAGUUAAGGCAGAAUGUUUGAAGAGUUAGAAGAAUUUUAGAAGCCUUAACUUUAGCGUAAUUUUGUUUGAAAAACCAAAGGACUUUUGCUAACAAUUUCAAGAUUAUCAGCAUUUUGCGUUGGACUUUGAGCUUGAGGUUCUUUUAAAAAUCCUAAGGACUUAGCGUUAGCAGCAGACCCAGGUCUACACAGAAGUGGAUUCAGUGAACCUAGGAAGACAGGCGUCCCGAGGCCAGUUUGGUGAAGAUAGCCCAGGAAACAGUGCGGUUCGGUGGAGGAAGCUAGGAAGAAGGAGCCCUCACGCUGUGGUGAAGCUAGGAAAGGAUUCCAGGAAGGUGGAGCCAGUGGAGUUGGUGAUGAGAAGCUAGCGGCUUGGCCACUGCGCAGAGGAGGCGAGCAGGCGUUGUGGAGAGGAUAGAUAGCGGCUCCUAGUCCAGCAUGCCGGUGUGCAAGACAGGCAGCAGGGAGAGCGUUGGUGCCGUAAAGUCCAUGAGGUCGGCAGCGCGGUGUGUUCUGUAACUUGAGGAUGGUAACUCGUUUAUUUUGCCUUACCGGUAAUGGGGGAGUUGUAAGCUUCUGUGUAAAGGGAUUUCUUGGGGCUGUAGGCCGGUUCCGGGUGUCGUAGGUUUUUCUUUUUCAGGCUUAUGUCCUCUCUCAUCUUGUCUGAAGCUUUUGAGGGCAGACUGCCAAGGCCCAGAAGAAUGAUAGAUGGCAAGUUGUCUUACCCGAUUGGAGGGAGAAUCAAUGGUAGAGCCAACACAACCCCACCAGUUUUGUGAGAAGUUUUAGUUUUGUGAACAGAUGGUCUACUGCAGUCUCCUGCCAGUCUACUCUGUAGUUGGGAGGUAACUGGGCAGUGUUUGUGGGGAUGGGGCAAAAUGUGUUUUUGAGUUCUUUUCCCUUAGGUCUUUCUAGAAUCCUAAAGGCAGAUGACUCAAGGGAACCAGAAAAGAAAAUCCAGUAUCAGGAUAAUCUGAACUCAACAGGUUUACAGUUUCUAGGAAUUAGAGGAUGGAUAAUAGCUUUCACUUUGAGUCUGGAGGCGCUGUCCAUUGGAGAAAUGGCUGGUAGUUUAUUCUUACCCCCCUCCCUUAAUGAGACUUGUAAAAUUCCUCAUCUUUUAAACUGCAUUUUUACUUGAAAUAUUUGGGAAUGGUCUUAACAGGGAGGAUCGGGUGGGGGAGAUGUAUUUUUCUAAGAUUUUCCACAGAUGCUAGUUCUGUUGGCACGCUGGGUUAGAGAAGGCGUGUGCUGCUGUGCGGUUGGCAUGACCUUCAGGGACUGGAGCUGCCCUUUAUCCUUGGAAGAGUUUUCCCAGUUGCGGCUGAAGUACAGCACAGUGCAGCUUUGGUUCAGUCACCUCAGGAGGCCCUCAGGAGCUUGCCUAGGCCAGAUGUUGAAGUUAAGUUUUCAAGCACCAUGACUUUCAACCUUUCCAUUAAGGGGAGGGCAAAACUUAGUUGGCUGUGGCUGCUGCGUUUGGGUGGUGGUGGGGGGUUAGGUAAUUGUUUAGUUUAUGAUUUCAGAUAAUCAUACCAGAGAACUUAAAUACUUAGGAUGGAAAAACUGAGGAAAUCUCAGCUUUCAAGUUGGCAAGUAACUCCCAAUCUUCCAGUUUUUGUUUCUUUUGUUUCUUUUUUCUUUUUCUGAGUUGGCAGCUGAGGAAGAUUGCUCUGGGAACCCCUACCAGUAAUUUGGGCAAGGAGAGUAAACCAAAACAGUUGUCUGUUUUCUGAAACGUGUGUAGGGCUUGGGGGUUGGUCUGGUCCACUGGAGUGAUACGAAAACUACAGUGUUGGGAUUCAUUUAUUUUUAUUUUUUUUUAUUUUUUUAAGUUACUGGAUAUAGAUUGUAGUGUGUGGUUCUCUUGAAAUUUUUUUCAGGUGACUUAAUGUAUCUUAAUAACUACUAUAGGAGCCUCAGAGCAGAGGAAGUGGCUUAAUGACCCUGCAGGGAAUUCUCCUGGUGAUAGCUUUUAUAUUAUCAAACUCUUUUCAGAUAACACCAUCUGAAUCAUAACAAGCCUGGCAGUAUGAUGACGUAGCUGCAGAGGGAACAGCUCGUUGGUGAAUGAUAAGUAAAGGCAGAAAAGAUAAUGUCAUGUCUCCAUUGGGGAAUGAGCAUGAGUCCAAGAUUCUUACUACUGAUGAAAACCAUGUCUCCAUAUGCAAAAAAUUAAGCAAAUGAAAGCAACCAAUAUAAAGUUAUGGAAUCUACCAUGUUUAAAAGAUAAUGGCUUAUCAAGUAAAGAAUUGAUGAAAAACAAUGAAGAUCAAAUGUCCAUCUCAAAACACUGCUUUUACAAAAGCAGAAUAAAAAAUGAAAUGAAAUGAAAAUGCUACAUUAAUCCUGGAGUAAAAAGAAGCUGAAAUUAUUGAUGAGUGGGAUCAAGUGGAUUGAGAGGAGGCUGUGCAGUGUGCCAAUCUUUCCUUUGCCUCAGACAGGUUUCUCUUCAUAAUCAGAAGAGUUGCUUCAUUUCAUCUCGGAGCAGGAAACAGCAGAGCUGUUAACAGAUAAGUUUUAACUUGAAUCUGCAGUAUUGCAUGUCAGGGAUAAGUGCUUAUUUUUGUAAGAGCUGUGGAGGUAUUUGUCCUUGCCUGACCCCUUCCUUCGGGGAUUUCAGGAUAGUGAGCAGUUUCCCCAUCAAGCCUUUUAGAAAUUCUAGGCCUUGUGCCAAUGGGCUUUCAUGAUGGGAUAUAGUAGGUAAAAAAGGCUUUUGCAUCCUAAGUAAUUUCAUCACAAAAGCCUUGUAUACAUGAUUAGUGGCUGCUUAAAUCACAUUGCUUACAAAACUAAGGAAUCUUUUUCACUUGAUUCUCUGAAGACCCUGUGAAAGGGAUGUAGCAUUAUGUGCUAAAAGUCAGAUAUGUUCAUCUUGCUAAAAUUUAAAUGUGCUAAAUGUACUUGUGCUUAAACCAUUAAAGUAUACAAAUUAAUAAAAUACUUGACUAGAGAAUGUAUAUAUUUAGAAAGCUGUCUCCUUAUUUAAAUAAAGUAUUGUUUGUCUGUAGUUAGUGUUGGGCAAUCUUGGGGGGGAUGUUCUUUUCUAAUCUUUCAGAAAUUUUGUCUUCGAACACUUAAACGGACAAGAUCAGGACUUGAGCAGAAGACCGAAUUUAACUUUAAGGCAGGAAAGACAAAUUUUAUUCUCCAUACAGUGAUGAAUGAGCACUUAAUAAUUCCAGGCGUGGCAUAGAGGCCCUCUAAAUAAGGAAUAAGUACCUUAGACAGGUGGGAGAUAAUGGUCAGAGUAAAAGGUAACUACAUAUUUUGUUUCCAGAAAGUCAGGGGUCUAAUUUGACAAUGGCUAAACAUCUAGGGUAAGAUAACUUUUCCACAUUUCCAAAAUUGCAUGUUAAGUUUAAAUGCUUACGAUCAUCUCAUCCACUGUUAGCCUUUUCUCACCUCACUUGAGCCAGGAGUUGGGGUGGGCAUGUGGGUUUUUAAAAUUUUUCCUUUGCAGAGGCUUCAUUUCAUCCUUCAUGAAGCUGCUCAGGAUUUUGACUUGCAUAUGAGUGCUUGGCUCUGUCUUCUGUUCUGCUAGUGAGUGUGUGGGACCUUGCAGUGAGUUUUUCAUGGAAUCUGGAGGGAAGGGAGAAGGGGGGGGGGGCUUACUUGUUUUAGCUUUUUUUUACAGACUACACAGAGAAUGCAGGUGUCUUGACUUCAGGUCUUGUCUGUUCUUUGGCAAGUAAUAUGCAGUACUGUUCGAAUCUGCUGCUAUUAGAAUGCAUUGUGACCGACUGGAUAUGGUUAAAAGUUGUGUUUUCCCAAAUGUUUGGAGUAGUGAUUGUGGAGGCAAACCAUGAGUGAUACAGGCUGAGUGUUGAGGAAAUGGCUCUGCAGCUUUAAGUAACACGUGUUUGUGAUUGAAGCCAAGUUCCUUUUGCGUGCUGCUUUAGGUAAAUGUUUUUGUUCAUUUUUGGUGAGGGGGGAUGGGGGCACUGAAGCCUUUAGUCUUUUCCAGAUUCAACCUAAAAUCUUGACAAGAAAUAAAUUCAGACAAGCAACAUUCUUGAAGAAAUUUUAACUGGCAAGUGGAAAUGUUUUAACAGUUCAGUGGUCUUUAGAGCGUUGUCUGUGUGGUGUCUCUCUCCCCUCCCUUGGUCUUAAUUCUCACAUGCAGGAACAUUGAGAACAGCAGACACGUAUGCGAGGGGCCAGAGAAGCCAGACCCAGUAAGGAAAACAAUAGCCCCUUUACUUUAAAUCAAUAAGUGAACCAAGCCUUGCAUUUCACUGUGGGGAUUGGGAAGCACUAGUUCUUUCAGAUGUGCUCUUCAGACUGUAGAGGAGCUUCCAAUUGAACUCACCAGUGGACAAGAUGAGGACACCAGGUGAACAAGCCUUUUCUUGUUUAAGAUUAGUGACGUAAAUGAAUUAGUGUUGGAUCCUCUUCAGCUUCAUGCUGGAGUAGUUAGCAUGUGAUGAACAAGUGGUAUGUUGGCCUUGGGGUGGAGGGGUGAGGUGGGCGCUAAGCCUUUUCUUAAGAUUUUUCAGGUACCCCUCACUAAAGGCACCAAAGGCUUUAAUGUAGGACAGCGGAGCGAACCUUCCUGUGGCAAGAGACAGCCAAGCACUAUUAUACCAAGGUCAAAGUGGUGUCAUGGUCUGGUUUUGGUUAGCAGUGAGGACUGCCUCAGCACCUUGCUUGGAGUGAAGCAUUGAAAGAGAAUACUGGAGUGUCCCUGGGCUUGUUUUAAUAUCCAAAAAAAAGCUGUUUUUAUAGCAGCUGUUAGCAGCCCAUACCUCAUUGUGCUUGAAGGGGAGGGAAAGGGGGAAAGUGGGCAACCAUUUUUCCCUAGCUUUUCCAGAAGCCUGUUACAAGGUCUCCCCACAAGUGACUUCUCUGCCACAUCGCCACCCUGUGCCUUUGGCUUAAUCACAGACCCUUCACCCCUCACCUUGAUGCAGCCAGUAGCUGGAUCCUUGAGGGCAUGAUGCGUAAUCGGUUUCAAGGUAACCACGGUGCCGAGGUCCGGUGGGUUGCACUAGAAAAGGCCGUUUCUGUCCUGCCUGUAAAUUAACAAAACAGUAAAACCACAGCUAAGUAGCUAAGAUGUUUCUAAGUGUGUAGCACCUAUUCAGUGACUAAACAAACUUAAACCAGUCAGGGGAAUGGUAAUGUUUGAUAUCUGACUGCUGGGUGGGAAUACAGAAGUCAGUUGAGCAAGGCAAGGCUUUGUUAGGAAGCUGCUGGGUGGGAUUGCAAAAAUUCUCUGCUAAGACUUUUCCAGGUGGACAUUACAGACUUGACCAAGCUAGCAUCUUAGCGGAAGGAGAUUCUUCAAUAGGGCUCUAAAGGUUUUUCUUUUCCUGAGAAAACAAACUCUUGUUUUCUCAGGUUUUGCUUUUUGGCCUUUCCCUAGCUUAAAAAAAAAAAAAAGCAAAAGAUGCCGGUGGUUGGCACUCCUGGUUUCCAGGAUGGGGUUCAAAUCCCUACGGUGUCUUUGCUUGAUUCUCGAUAUUAUAAGGCCUUGGCAUUUCGGAGGGGGAGGGGACUCAGGAGAUGGGAGCAGACACACUGCAUCUCUGCCCAGCCUCAGUGUUGAACUUGUCAGUAACUGGCAGCUGCUUUGUCUUUUUCAGGUUAUGCCCAAUUCAUCUAGUGUUGGCAUAGCUCCAUUAUCGGAUACUUUUCAUUUUACAAAAUAAAAGCUGAAAAUUUUCA